RNAcentral lists this ribosomal RNA (429 nucleotides) under Acidobacteriota bacterium. RNAcentral's name for it is "Acidobacteria bacterium partial 16S ribosomal RNA". It matches the Rfam family "Bacterial small subunit ribosomal RNA", at positions 355 to 776 of the family's 1533-position model. Lineage: Bacteria; Pseudomonadati; Acidobacteriota. The record is from RNAcentral.
UGGGGAAUUUUGGUCAAUGGGGGAAACCCUGAUCAAGCCAUCCCGCGUGUGCGAUGAAGGCCUUCGGGUUGUAAAGCACUUUUGGCAGGAAAGAAACGUCAUGGGUUAAUACCCCGUGAAACUGACGGUACCUGCAGAAUAAGCACCGGCUAACUACGUGCCAGCAGCCGCGGUAAUACGUAGGGUGCAAGCGUUAAUCGGAAUUACUGGGCGUAAAGCGUGCGCAGGCGGUUCGGAAAGAAAGAAGUGAAAUCCCAGAGCUCAACUUUGGAACUGCAUUAUUAACUACCGGGCUAGAGUGUGUCAGAGGGAGGUGGAAUUCCGCGUGUAGCAGUGAAAUGCGUAGAUAUGCGGAGGAACACCGAUGGCGAAGGCAGCCUCCUGGGAUAACACUGACGCUCAUGCACGAAAGCGUGGGGAGCAAACAGG